AUUGAACGCUGGCGGCAGGCCUAACACAUGCAAGUCGAGCGGAUGACGGGAGCUUGCUCCUGGAUUCAGCGGCGGACGGGUGAGUAAUGCCUAGGAAUCUGCCUGGUAGUGGGGGAUAACGUCCGGAAACGGGCGCUAAUACCGCAUACGUCCUGAGGGAGAAAGUGGGGGAUCUUCGGACCUCACGCUAUCAGAUGAGCCUAGGUCGGAUUAGCUAGUUGGUGGGGUAAUGGCCUACCAAGGCGACGAUCCGUAACUGGUCUGAGAGGAUGAUCAGUCACACUGGAACUGAGACACGGUCCAGACUCCUACGGGAGGCAGCAGUGGGGAAUAUUGGACAAUGGGCGAAAGCCUGAUCCAGCCAUGCCGCGUGUGUGAAGAAGGUCUUCGGAUUGUAAAGCACUUUAAGUUGGGAGGAAGGGCAGUAAGUUAAUACCGUGCUGUUUUGACGGUACCAACAGAAUAAGCACCGGCUAACUUCGUG
This 484-nucleotide ribosomal RNA is filed under the name uncultured bacterium. RNAcentral describes it as "partial 16S ribosomal RNA". It matches the Rfam family "Bacterial small subunit ribosomal RNA", at positions 30 to 507 of the family's 1533-position model. The record is from RNAcentral.